UUAGAAUAAAAAUCCGUACAAACAGCGUUUAUCAAUCGUGUACUGCUAUUUUACCUCACUUCUCAACUUCGUUGAUUAUUCUACUAGAAUUACUUUAAUUCAUCAUGCCUGGUGGACCUUGUGGAGCCAACUGCACCUGCGAAAAGUGCCGCUGCUGCGGUGCAGCAGCUAAGUGCAGUGCCAGCUGCAAAUGCGAGACCUGCCGUUGCUGUCAACGGGGGCAGAACUGCCGCUGCGGAGAUUGCAAAUGUUGUGGAGCCGCCAAGUGCUAAAGUACAACAUCAGUGUCAACAGAGGGAGCUUGCUAUACUAUAACGCAAAAUGUGCAAAGGUGGUUCAUAAAAUUGAACAUGUAAAUGCUUUGGAAUGUAAUUAAUUUAAAUGAUUUUAACUAAGAUAUUUAUAGUUGAAGCAAUAAAUGUUUCAAAUGUG
Uloborus diversus is the source of this 432-nucleotide long non-coding RNA. RefSeq lists it as uncharacterized. The record is from RefSeq and is a predicted model, not a curated record. The transcript is spliced from 2 exons. NCBI's taxonomy places the organism in Eukaryota, Metazoa, Arthropoda, Arachnida, Araneae, Uloboridae.